GGCCGGUGGCGCAGCUACCAUGCAAGUCGAGCGGUAGCACAGAGAGCUUGCUCUCGGGUGACGAGCGGCGGACGGGUGAGUAAUGUCUGGGAAACUGCCUGAUGGAGGGGGAUAACUACUGGAAACGGUAGCUAAUACCGCAUAAUGUCGCAAGACCAAAGUGGGGGACCUUCGGGCCUCAUGCCAUCGGAUGUGCCCAGAUGGGAUUAGCUAGUAGGUGGGGUAACGGCUCACCUAGGCGACGAUCCCUAGCUGGUCUGAGAGGAUGACCAGCCACACUGGAACUGAGACACGGUCCAGACUCCUACGGGAGGCAGCAGUGGGGAAUAUUGCACAAUGGGCGCAAGCCUGAUGCAGCCAUGCCGCGUGUGUGAAGAAGGCCUUCGGGUUGUAAAGCACUUUCAGCGGGGAGGAAGGCGGUGAGGUUAAUAACCUCAUCGAUUGACGUUACCCGCAGAAGAAGCACCGGCUAACUCCGUGCCAGCAGCCGCGGUAAUACGGAGGGUGCAAGCGUUAAUCGGAAUUACUGGGCGUAAAGCGCACGCAGGCGGUCUGUCAAGUCGGAUGUGAAAUCCCCGGGCUCAACCUGGGAACUGCAUUCGAAACUGGCAGGCUAGAGUCUUGUAGAGGGGGGUAGAAUUCCAGGUGUAGCGGUGAAAUGCGUAGAGAUCUGGAGGAAUACCGGUGGCGAAGGCGGCCCCCUGGACAAAGACUGACGCUCAGGUGCGAAAGCGUGGGGAGCAAACAGGAUUAGAUACCCUGGUAGUCCACGCCGUAAACGAUGUCGAUUUGGAGGUUGUGCCCUUGAGGCGUGGCUUCCGGAGCUAACGCGUUAAAUCGACCGCCUGGGGAGUACGGCCGCAAGGUUAAAACUCAAAUGAAUUGACGGGGGCCCGCACAAGCGGUGGAGCAUGUGGUUUAAUUCGAUGCAACGCGAAGAACCUUACCUGGUCUUGACAUCCACAGAACUUUCCAGAGAUGGAUUGGUGCCUUCGGGAACUGUGAGACAGGUGCUGCAUGGCUGUCGUCAGCUCGUGUUGUGAAAUGUUGGGUUAAGUCCCGCAACGAGCGCAACCCUUAUCCUUUGUUGCCAGCGGUUCGGCCGGGAACUCAAAGGAGACUGCCAGUGAUAAACUGGAGGAAGGUGGGGAUGACGUCAAGUCAUCAUGGCCCUUACGACCAGGGCUACACACGUGCUACAAUGGCAUAUACAAAGAGAAGCGACCUCGCGAGAGCAAGCGGACCUCAUAAAGUAUGUCGUAGUCCGGAUUGGAGUCUGCAACUCGACUCCAUGAAGUCGGAAUCGCUAGUAAUCGUAGAUCAGAAUGCUACGGUGAAUACGUUCCCGGGCCUUGUACACACCGCCCGUCACACCAUGGGAGUGGGUUGCAAAAGAAGUAGGUAGCUUAACCUUCGGGAGGGCGCUACCACUUUUGGAUCAGCGGC
RNAcentral lists this ribosomal RNA (1446 nucleotides) under Klebsiella sp. Its description in RNAcentral is "bacterial SSU rRNA". It matches the Rfam family "Bacterial small subunit ribosomal RNA". Lineage: Bacteria; Pseudomonadati; Pseudomonadota; Gammaproteobacteria; Enterobacterales; Enterobacteriaceae. The record is from RNAcentral.